UCNGGAAAGUCUGGAGUAAAAGGNUAUGGCUCAACCAUAGUGUGCUCUGGAAACUGUNUGACUUGAGUGCAGAAGGGGAGAGUGGAAUUCCANGUGUAGCGGUGAAAUGCGUAGAUAUAUGGAGGAACACCAGUGGCGAAAGCGGCUCUCUGGUCUGUCACUGACGCUGAGGCUCGAAAGCGUGGGUAGCGAACAGGAUUAGAUACCCUGGUAGUNCACGCCGUAAACGAUGAGUGCUAGGUGUUAGGCCCUUUCCGGGGCUUAGUGCCGGAGCUAACGCAAUAAGCACUCCGCCUGGGGAGUACGACCGCAAGGUUGAAACUCAAAGGAAUUGACGGGGGCCCGCACAAGCGGUAGAGCAUGUGGUUUAAUUCGAAGCAACGCGAAGAACCUUACCAGGUCUUGACAUCCCGAUGCUAUUCUUAGAGAUAGGAAGUUACUUCGGUACAUCGGAGACGGGUGGUGCAUGGUUGUCGUCAGCUCGUGUCGUGAGAUGUUGGGUUAAGUCCCGCAACGAGCGCAACCCUUAUUGUUAGUUGCCAUCAUUAAGUUGGGCACUCUAGCGAGACUGCCGGUAAUAAACCGGAGGAAGGUGGGGAUGACGUCAAAUCAUCAUGCCCCUUAUGACCUGGGCUACACACGUGCUACAAUGGUCGGUACAACGAGUUGCGAGCCGGUGACGGCAAGCUAAUCUCUGAAAGCCGAUCUCAGUUCGGAUUGGAGGCUGCAACUCGCCUCCAUGAAGUCGGAAUCGCUAGUAAUCGCGGAUCAGCACGCCGCGGUGAAUACGUUCCCGGGCCUUGUACACACCGCCCGUCACACCACGAGAGUUUGUAACACCCGAAGUCGGUGAGGUAACCUUUUAGGGGCCAGCCGC
This 877-nucleotide ribosomal RNA is filed under the name uncultured bacterium. Its description in RNAcentral is "bacterial SSU rRNA". It matches the Rfam family "Bacterial small subunit ribosomal RNA", at positions 579 to 1456 of the family's 1533-position model. The record is from RNAcentral.